Molecule: ribosomal RNA, 356 nt
Filed under: Salmonella enterica subsp. enterica serovar Kentucky
Lineage: Bacteria; Pseudomonadati; Pseudomonadota; Gammaproteobacteria; Enterobacterales; Enterobacteriaceae
Description: partial 23S ribosomal RNA
Rfam family: Bacterial large subunit ribosomal RNA
Source: RNAcentral
UGUUUCGGCUAGGGGGCCAUCCCGGCUUACCAACCCGAUGCAAACUGCGAAUACCGGAGAAUGUUAUCACGGGAGACACACGGCGGGUGCUAACGUCCGUCGUGAAGAGGGAAACAACCCAGACCGCCAGCUAAGGUCCCAAAGUCAUGGUUAAGUGGGAAACGAUGUGGGAAGGCCCAGACAGCCAGGAUGUUGGCUUAGAAGCAGCCAUCAUUUAAAGAAAGCGUAAUAGCUCACUGGUCGAGUCGGCCUGCGCGGAAGAUGUAACGGGGCUAAACCAUGCACCGAAGCUGCGGCAGCGACACUGUGUGUUGUUGGGUAGGGGAGCGUUCUGUAAGCCUGCGAAGGUGUCCCGU